GCGGGCAUAGCUCAACUGGUAGAGUGACGGUCUCCAAAACCGUAGGCUGGGGGUUCGAGUCCUCCUGCCCGCG
RNAcentral lists this transfer RNA (73 nucleotides) under Saprospiraceae bacterium. RNAcentral describes it as "tRNA-Trp". It matches the Rfam family "tRNA". From Rfam's summary of the family: Transfer RNA (tRNA) molecules are approximately 80 nucleotides in length. Lineage: Bacteria; Pseudomonadati; Bacteroidota; Saprospiria; Saprospirales; Saprospiraceae. The record is from RNAcentral.